GCCCCUGUAGCUCAGCAGGAUAGAGCAGCGGUUUCCUAAACCGUUUGUCGCAGGUUCGAUUCCUGCCAGGGGUA
Molecule: transfer RNA, 74 nt
Filed under: Anaerolineaceae bacterium 4572_32.2
Lineage: Bacteria; Bacillati; Chloroflexota; Anaerolineae; Anaerolineales; Anaerolineaceae
Description: tRNA-Arg
Rfam family: tRNA
About the family: Transfer RNA (tRNA) molecules are approximately 80 nucleotides in length. Their secondary structure includes four short double-helical elements and three loops (D, anti-codon, and T loops).
Source: RNAcentral